GACGAACGCUGGCGGCGUGCUUAACACAUGCAAGUCGAACGGAAAGGCCCUGCUUUUGUGGGGUGCUCGAGUGGCGAACGGGUGAGUAACACGUGAGUAACCUGCCCUUGACUUUGGGAUAACUUCAGGAAACUGGGGCUAAUACCGGAUAGGAGCUCCUGCUGCAUGGUGGGGGUUGGAAAGUUUCGGCGGGUGGGGAUGGACUCGCGGCUUAUCAGCUUGUUGGUGGGGUAGUGGCUUACCAAGGCUUUGACGGGUAGCCGGCCUGAGAGGGUGACCGGCCACAUUGGGACUGAGAUACGGCACAGACUCCUACGGGAGGCAGCAGUGGGGAAUAUUGCACAAUGGGCGGAAGCCUGAUGCAGCAACGCCGCGUGCGGGAUGACGGCCUUCGGGUUGUAAACCGCUUUCGCCUGUGACGAAGCGUGAGUGACGGUAAUGGGUAAAGAAGCACCGGCUAACUACGUG
Molecule: ribosomal RNA, 468 nt
Filed under: uncultured bacterium
Lineage: Bacteria
Description: partial 16S ribosomal RNA
Rfam family: Bacterial small subunit ribosomal RNA
Source: RNAcentral